This 1107-nucleotide long non-coding RNA is filed under the name Marmota monax (woodchuck). Lineage: Eukaryota; Metazoa; Chordata; Mammalia; Rodentia; Sciuridae. The record is from RNAcentral.
CUAACAUGAAAUUUCAGGACCCAAUGGGGGUGGGGUGUAGGAGCUCCAGCCAGGAACCUGAGCUGGGUGGAGCUUGGGAGAAGGAAGGAGAGAGCGAAGCUGGCAGAGAAUAGAUUUUGGCCAGGAUUCCUGGAGACUGGCGGGCAGAGGUGGUGGCUGGGGGUCUGGGGAAAAGGGAUGGAGAGCUAAAAAUAUAAAGGUACAAUAGUAUUAGCAAUAAUUUACAUAUAUAAUUCUUCAGUGUCCUGUAGGAGAGAAGCUAGGGAUUUCAUCUUGAAUUUGAUUCCCCAAACCAGUCCAUUUAGAUAAGCGAAAAGACCUUUCUGGCAGGGAAGGUUUUGGCUGAGAUCUGGGAGGAGAAGGUAGUUGAGCCAUUAUGAGUAGAUGAAGGGGCGAGAGGGUGUGAUAAUUUCCUAAUUGUAUUUGCUAAUGCACCUGCCUAGAACGUGCCUAUAUGCAUAAAUGCAUCCCCUUUGGGGCAAAAGAGGCUUCUGUCACUUCCCCUGGGGGCAUCAGAAGAAACUCUCUGCCUGCCUCUCACAAAGACCAAGGUGGAUCACAUUCUCUUGCCGGUGGAAUCACCCAAGCCUGACUCCUUUUGGAAUCAUCCCAGCCGCAUCCGCCACCUCUAAAGUCACCUAGACUUUUUUGCCUCCACACUGAGGAGGGUUGCAAACUGCGGAGUCUCGGUCUUCCCUCCCUAAGGCGCAAAGACACUCAAACCCACCCAGUAAAGGACACAUUUCAUCCAGCAGGACAAGGUAGCUCAGGUCAGUUGGGUGACCAAUUGCAUCUUGGAGAAGAUGACAAUUCCAGGACACAACCCUAGAGACAUAUUGACACACAGAAACACAGACACCCACGCCAUGCAGCCGUAUAGAUGCCCACAGCAGACACUAUCCGUUCCUGCACCGAGCCACACUGACCCGGUCUAGGCACAUGUGGGCGACAGCCUAAAGAGCAGGCUCAGACUUCCAGAAUCUCGAGGGCAGGUUCAGACUGCAGGCAAGCCUCGGCCACGUCUCCACCUGCAGCCUGCUGUCCCGACCCGUUGCGAAGCCCCAGACAGGGUGCUCACAAGCACAAGAAGAAAGAACUGGGUCCCGG